CCAAUAGCGUAUAUUAAAGUUGUUGCAGUUAAAAAGCUCGUAGUUGAAUUUCGGGAUCAAUAUAUCGGUCGUGCCAUUGGUACGUACUGGUAUCAUUGGUUUCUCCUUUCUGACGAACCAUGAUGUCAUUAAUUUGGUGUUAUGGGAAGUUAGGACUGUUACUUUGAAAAAAUUAGAGUGUUUAAAGCAGGCUUUAGCUU
This 200-nucleotide ribosomal RNA is filed under the name uncultured Glomus. RNAcentral describes it as "partial small subunit ribosomal RNA". It matches the Rfam family "Eukaryotic small subunit ribosomal RNA", at positions 591 to 796 of the family's 1831-position model. Lineage: Eukaryota; Fungi; Glomeromycota; Glomeromycetes; Glomerales; Glomeraceae. The record is from RNAcentral.